RNAcentral lists this ribosomal RNA (292 nucleotides) under uncultured bacterium. RNAcentral describes it as "partial 16S ribosomal RNA". It matches the Rfam family "Bacterial small subunit ribosomal RNA", at positions 505 to 796 of the family's 1533-position model. The record is from RNAcentral.
GUGUCAGCAGCCGCGGUAAUACAGAGGGUGCGAACGUUGCUCGGAAUUACUGGGCGUAAAGCGCGUGUAGGCGGAUCCAUAAGUCGGGCGUGAAAUCCCCAGGCUCAACCUGGGAACUGCGCUCGAAACUGUGGGUCUUGAGUGUCGGAGAGGAUGGCGGAAUUCCUGGUGUAGAGGUGAAAUUCGUAGAUAUCAGGAGGAACACCGGUGGCGAAGGCGGCCAUCUGGACGACAACUGACGCUGAGACGCGAAAGCGUGGGGAGCAAACAGGAUUAGAAACCCUAGUAGUCC